RNAcentral lists this ribosomal RNA (524 nucleotides) under uncultured bacterium. RNAcentral's name for it is "partial 16S ribosomal RNA". It matches the Rfam family "Bacterial small subunit ribosomal RNA", at positions 28 to 523 of the family's 1533-position model. The record is from RNAcentral.
GACGAACGCUGGCGGCGUGCCUAAUACAUGCAAGUCGAACGAAGCUGUUUUAACUGGUGCUUGCACCGACUUAAACAACUGAGUGGCGAACGGGUGAGUAACACGUGGGUAACCUGCCCCAAAGCGGGGGAUAACAUUUGGAAACAGAUGCUAAUACCGCAUAACCACAGAAACCACAUGGUUUCUGUGUCAAAGAUGGUUUCGGCUAUCACUUUGGGAUGGACCCGCGGCGUAUUAGCUAGUUGGUAAGGUAAUGGCUUACCAAGGCAAUGAUACGGAGCCGAACUGAGAGGGUGAUCGGCCAAAUUGGGACUGAGACACGGCCCAAACUCCUACGGGAGGCAGCAGUAGGGAACCUUACACAAUGGACGAAAGUCUGAUGGAGCAACGCCGCGUGAGUGAAGAAGGUUUUCGGAUCGUAAAACUCUGUUGUCAGAGAAGAACGUGUGCGAGAGUAACUGCUCGUGCAGUGACGGUAUCUGGCCAGAAAGCCACGGCUAACUACGUGCCAGCCGCCGCCGUAA